RNAcentral lists this unclassified non-coding RNA (63 nucleotides) under Actinacidiphila bryophytorum. The record is from RNAcentral. Lineage: Bacteria; Bacillati; Actinomycetota; Actinomycetes; Kitasatosporales; Streptomycetaceae.
AGGGGAAGCCGGUGCGAAUCCGGCGCUGCCCCGCAACGGUGAGCGAGGCGUGCCCGCACGCCC